Molecule: ribosomal RNA, 254 nt
Filed under: uncultured bacterium
Lineage: Bacteria
Description: partial 16S ribosomal RNA
Rfam family: Bacterial small subunit ribosomal RNA
Source: RNAcentral
UACGUAGGCAGCGAGCGUUGUUCGGAGUUACUGGGCGUAAAGGGUGUGUAGGCGGUUGUUUAAGUUUGGUGUGAAAUCUCCCAGCUCAACUGGGAGGGUGCGCCGAAUACUGAAUGACUUGGAGUGCGGGAGAGGAGAGUGGAAUUCCUGGUGUAGCGGUGAAAUGCGUAGAUAUCAGGAGGAACACCGGUGGUGUAGACGGCUCUCUGGACCGUAACUGACGCUGAGACACGAAAGCGUGGGUAGCAAACAGG